CCUCGCUCCCAUCAUCAUCAUCAUCAUCAUCAUCAUCCUUCAGCCUCCACCGCUAUGAUGCUGCAUCUCAUCCCACCGGCUCUAAUAAUGAGUUUUAGUGUUUUAGUUAAGGGACAAGCGGAGGACUUCAGACUGACCGACAGAGCCUAUGUGAACUUACAGAAGCAGGAUCUAGUCAUGAUGGGCAGUGUCCUCGCAGUCCUCCUGGUGCUGAUGAUUAUCAUGGCUGUGUGUGUCUACAAACCGCUGUCCCGUCGGUGAAAACUGUCCGAGGAGAGGAGAGAGGAGGGAGACAAAGCUGCUGCUGCUGCCCGAGGACCAGGGAGCUCUGCCCCGGUGUCUGAACACCUCCUGACGGGGGACAGACGAGCUCUGCUACAGCUACAUACAACUGCAAACCCCCAGACUGCACAAUUAUUUAUAACCUGGGGUUUCAUUUGUCACGUGUGUUAUGUUUAUUUAUUUAUUUAUUUAUUUAAUGAGGUUGAUUACUCCUAAUAAUCUUGGCUGUAAGCCUCAAUGUGUUAUUUGAGUUUUGUCAUUUAUUUGGACUUCAUGUGUCUUAUUGGCUCUUCUCAGGGGGAAUGUGGUUAUGCAACCAUUGGAAACAUUUCAGAGGAACUGCAAAGUGAGACAGUUUUCAUUGCUUAAACAUUUAGUUGUUUUUCCCUGUAUUUGUAAAUCUGUAAACUGUAUUUGUUUGUUAUUUUAUUAUUUAUUUGAUUCAAGUUUGAAACCUAAAGGAAAUAUUGUAAAUAGCUGUGUUUUGUUUCCUUUUUAAAGGCCAACUUUUUUGUCUUAUUGGCUUAUUUUUUCACAGGAAAAUGUGUUACGGAGUCCAAAAGUUGGAUUUAAUAAGUGAGGGAGAUGCCUUUGAUCUAUAGUGGAAAUAAUGUGGAUGGUUUCUCAUGAUGAAAUCAAAGUGAUACCAAGAAAGUACUGGAAUAAACCUGCAGGUUAAUUUCAUCAUUUUGUUGUGUGGUGAAUCAGUCAGAUGAACGUGGAAGAUUUCCUGCUUUGUACAUGAUGUUGUGAUACACACAAUAUAAUUAGAUGGAGGCAGUCAGACUUAAUUUAGAAAGAUCGUCAUUGAAACGGACUUCCAAAAUCAUAAUUAACAUCAAUAAAUAACAUCUAUAUUUAGAGCUGAUGCCCGCAUGGCAGCUUUGUAUCCUGCACAAUCCACUUGUUCAACAGUGCACGUUCAUUAUGUGCAACAAUCGGAGUUUAGCAGCUGGCUAAAUGCAGAUAAAUCGUGCAAACCUGACGUGCACGAGGUGUUUUUGUAAAGAAAUCACACAAACAAAGUCCUGGUUAAUUCUCAUGGAAAUAAAGUGCUUUUAUUUUAGAAAGAACAUUUUCAAACAGACAUUUUCUUAAAAUUUUAACAUAUUAAAAAAAAAAAAACUUUGCAGCUGGAACGGUGCAUUACAAAGAUCUGCAUUAAUUUAACCCAAGCUAGCCUCUUUUGUUUUGUUUGUUUUUUAAGCUGACUGUUCAGUGAGUUUGGAAACUUGAGCGUUAUAUAUAUAUUUGUCAGCCGAAGCCCCUGAAAGUCAAACACGGCGACGCACAGCGACCUUUGAUGAGUGGUUUGUUGUCAGUGAAUAAACUAUAGUGGUUAAUGCAUGUAUCUCAGCAUCACCCUAAUACAACUCAAACUUCUUUACCUGCAAGUUACAAAAUUCUUUUUUUUUUUUUUUUUUUACAAAAUCUGUUCAAAAAGUUUAGUCUGAGUGGCACCACAUGAAUUUGUCACUACCUAUUGCCCGGACGAAGCAAUCCCUUGGCACAUGCUGAAGAAACUAAUCCUACGUAUGGCGGGCAUGCUCGAUCUUUGAGUCUGUGCUGUCUUUUCUUCUGCUCGGAGGUCUAGAGUUGUUCGUGGCUACAAAAGGCUGACGGGUAGCCAGCAUCGGUUGCGUGGCUGCUCCUUAACUGCAUGACGGCUGUAAAUCCACAGAUACCCUGGUCUCUAACUAUUGCAUUUAUGAUGUGAGGUGAUGACUGAAGUUUCUCAGCGACAGUUAAUCAAAAUCUUUGACACCUUUUCUCACCAUGAAAUCAGAGAAAAUGUUACGAAACAAUUAGGCAAGUAAAAGUUAAACCCCUAUCCUUGUUGCAGCGAAGAUAUUAUGCUACCAUGCAGCUCAUUUUUAGCUUUGUCUCACAGCAACAUGCUUUUGUUUUCCCAUCUGUAGAGUCUAUGUCCACAAAAUAAAGAAAACUUGUGACUCAAUGAAGCAAACUUUCUGAAUUAAUAUCAAUAUGGCAUAGAGUGAUUUGCACCAAAGAAAUAUUCACCAGGUUACAAUUUCCGAUUAAUCGGUCACGAUUAAUAAACUAAUUUCAAAGCGAAGAGAAAUUGUGGAACCCUGAGAUUUUGGUUAUUCGGUGAGCAGACGGUCCUCGACAACUCUGUAGGAAGACAUCACAGUGCUGACACUCAAAUCCGACCCUUUAGGUCCACAGUACGAGUACCUUUCUAUUGUGCUAGGUUGUUUUCAUUCUAGCUUUCUAAAAAGCAGGGACUGACGGGAUGAUAUAAAAAAACAAACAACAGUGCUCUGGACCUUUCAGUUCCAGGUUUGAGUGUCAGCGCUGUAUGAAGUCGCCUUGAGUAGUCAAACAUUUUUACAAUGACUUGAUCCCACUCCAGAUAACAACAUGAUCAGCACACGUGAGCUGCUGCUGUGAAU
This is a long non-coding RNA of Larimichthys crocea (large yellow croaker), 2699 nucleotides long. RefSeq lists it as uncharacterized. The record is from RefSeq and is a predicted model, not a curated record. Lineage: Eukaryota; Metazoa; Chordata; Actinopteri; Sciaenidae. The transcript is spliced from 2 exons.